CGUUUGUAUGUACUGACCUGCCUCAUAGUAUGGUGCGCCACUGGUGGCCAAUUACUGAGUAGGAGCGGAGUAUAUAAGCAGUGGCUCUCUCCCCGCCUCUUCCUUUGCGCUCCCAUCUGCGUCACCUCCGCUUGUGUUAGGGGUCGGUUUGCAACAGGUAUGUCUCGUGCUGUAUUUUUGAUUGUUUGUCUCGUCAAUGAGAUGCUUAAGGCAUUUAUUUUGCACCGCAGAGCGACCAUAUUCCCAGGCUUGUGUGUCCCCUCCGCUUGUCUGUGCGUGCGCCCCACUCCUGGCUUGUGGUAGGUGUCCUCUCUCUCUUGGCGUUAUCGUGCAUGCUUUUACCUAGCUAACGCUGGUGUGGUCGCAGGUAAAGUGCUGGUGGAUGCCUGGGCUCUCUCUGCCUCCCUCAUGUGUGUGUCCGCCGCUGCUGACAGGUGUAUUGGGAAUCAGCUGAUCGCAAUUACGCUGCUGACGUCACGCUCAGCUGACUGGGACCGCUGCUGUUUUGUCUCCGCCUGUUUUGUCUCCGCCUGUUUUGUCUCCGGCCGAUUUGGUCGGCCGCUGUCCCCGCUGUUGCCUCCGGCUGUUGGUCGGCCGCCGUCUCCGCUGUUGUCUCCAGCAACUUGUCGGCCGCUGGCUCCGCUGUUUCUGGUGGUUGGUCGGCCGGAGCUAAUUAUGGACUGAUCUUUUUAAAUGUGUGAUUGACUGGUAGUUAUAUUCUCUUCUUUUAUUCGGAUUAGUUUAUUCUUUUGUAUUUUGUUUCCAUUUGGGUAUUUAUUAUAUUGUAUAAUUUGUUAUAUUAAUUUGAAUCUUAUCAUUUAUAUUUUGUUCAGUUAGUGGGUUUUGUUGUGUUGAUUUGCUUAUUUCUCCCUCAUUAAUUUCUGUUAUCCCUUUCAGUUGCUGAAGGCUGAUGGUGGCGCUGGUGAUCCGGGUGGCGGGUCCCCCCUUUUCGUGUGUGCUGUGCUCCCUGGGAUUUGGUUCACUUCAGAGUGUGUGUCACGUGUGCGUGGGUGAUUUUAGUUGGUUUGGUGGAUCCCUCUCCCUUUCACUAGCCCCUGUCCAACCGGUAAGCCUCAGCACCUGAUAAGGUUCCCUUUUUUCCCUUCCCCGUGUGAAUGGUGUUUGUUUUAAACAGAACAUGUAUAUUUUUAAAACUGUAAAAUAAAAUAUUUUUGUACAUUUCUGA
This is a long non-coding RNA of Myripristis murdjan (pinecone soldierfish), 1186 nucleotides long. RefSeq lists it as uncharacterized. The record is from RefSeq and is a predicted model, not a curated record. The transcript has 2 exons. Lineage: Eukaryota; Metazoa; Chordata; Actinopteri; Holocentriformes; Holocentridae.